GCUAUUAAAACUUCAGGAAGGAGUAAACACCGGAAAGCAGUCCCUUUUUCUUCCUUUCAUAUAUGCAUUUGUACUCCUCUUUCUUAGAAUAAGAAACAUUUUUCUCCUGAUUCAUUUAAUUUUUGAGAAUUUAUAAAUUUUAUAAUUCUAACAGGCUAGCUAAAAUCAUAUUUCUAGAAAAACUCAUAGAUCAAAGUCAUGUUAAAUACACAGAUGCUUACUUCCUAAAAGUAUUUCAUACCCUAAAAUGAGUUACCAAAAAGAUUCAUUUCUAUCCAUUCCUUGAGCUAACUCUAUCUCUAAAGAAAUCUUAAACUGUUUCUGUUCUUGUUCCUGAUGGUGUUGAGACAUGGCCUUUUUAAAUGAAAACUAGUGCUUCAGAUGCUUCCCUUACAUUAUCUCACACAUUGCAUUGGUAGCUCGGAUCACAUGUUUAUUGGUAGGUAACCUUUUGGUCAUAAAAGAUUGGCCAUUCGACUCAUAAGUAAUGAGAGUUCUUGGGGGAGAAAGGGUCAUUUAAAUAUGAAAAUAGUUAAUAAUGGGCUAGUUUGCAAAGGUAGCCAAAUGCCAUAGGUCAUUUUCUUUUCUAAUUUUUUCCCUUCAUAUUUUUAUGUCUGAAAAAUUAGAAUGGGAAUAUUCGCAAAUCCCUAAAGAAUUCUGUGUAAGCCAGGCUUGGGUUCAUUAAUUGGUCCCUUAGAAGCCAGUAUAGCCUUUCUUCAACUUACCUCUUAGAAAAAGAAAUAUUUUUCAUUGAUAUUGCGCUUAUACUGUAGACUGGAGAAGAGUCCACUUUUCAAAAAGAGAGAAGCUGGAUAUAGUGGCACACACCUGUAAUUCUAACAACUCAUGAGUCUAAGGCAGGAGGAUCACAAAUUCAAGGCCAGCCUUAGCAACUUAGCAAGACCCUCAACAAUUUAGCAAAACCCUGUCUCAAAAAAUAAAAGUACUGCAAAUAUAGCUGUUGCAAAGCACCUCUGAAUUCAAUUUCCAGAAUAAAAAAGAAAGAGGUAUCAUUUAUCUUCUUGACUGACUUAUAAGCACAGAUGUCAUAUA
Molecule: long non-coding RNA, 1053 nt
Filed under: Marmota monax (woodchuck)
Lineage: Eukaryota; Metazoa; Chordata; Mammalia; Rodentia; Sciuridae
Source: RNAcentral